UACGUAGGGUGCGAGCGUUAAUCGGAAUUACUGGGCGUAAAGCGAGCGCAGGCGGUUCUGUAAGUCAGAUGUGAAAUCCCCGGGCUCAACCUGGGAACUGCGUUUGAAACUACAGGGCUAGAGUAUGGGAGAGGGGGGUAGAAUUCCACGUGUAGCAGUGAAAUGCGUAGAGAUGUGGAGGAAUACCAAUGGCGAAGGCAGCCCCCUGGCCUAAUACUGACGCUCAUGCUCGAAAGCGUGGGGAGCAAAC
This 250-nucleotide ribosomal RNA is filed under the name uncultured bacterium. RNAcentral's name for it is "partial 16S ribosomal RNA". It matches the Rfam family "Bacterial small subunit ribosomal RNA", at positions 524 to 773 of the family's 1533-position model. The record is from RNAcentral.